This 550-nucleotide ribosomal RNA is filed under the name uncultured bacterium. Its description in RNAcentral is "bacterial SSU rRNA". It matches the Rfam family "Bacterial small subunit ribosomal RNA", at positions 355 to 896 of the family's 1533-position model. The record is from RNAcentral.
UAGGGAAUCUUCGGCAAUGGGGGCAACCCUGACCGAGCAACGCCGCGUGAGUGAAGAAGGUUUUCGGAUCGUAAAGCUCUGUUGUAAGUCAAGAACGAGUGUGAGAGUGGAAAGUUCACACUGUGACGGUAGCUUACCAGAAAGGGACGGCUAACUACGUGCCAGCAGCCGCGGUAAUACGUAGGUCCCGAGCGUUGUCCGGAUUUAUUGGGCGUAAAGCGAGCGCAGGCGGUUUGAUAAGUCUGAAGUUAAAGGCUGUGGCUCAACCAUAGUUCGCUUUGGAAACUGUCAAACUUGAGUGCAGAAGGGGAGAGUGGAAUUCCAUGUGUAGCGGUGAAAUGCGUAGAUAUAUGGAGGAACACCGGUGGCGAAAGCGGCUCUCUGGUCUGUAACUGACGCUGAGGCUCGAAAGCGUGGGGAGCAAACAGGAUUAGAUACCCUGGUAGUCCACGCCGUAAACGAUGAGUGCUAGGUGUUGGGUCCUUUCCGGGACUCAGUGCCGAAGCUAACGCAUUAAGCACUCCGCCUGGGGAGUACGACCGCAAGGUUG